UGGGGAAUAUUGCACAAUGGGCGAAAGCCUGAUGCAGCAACGCCGCGUGAGUGAUGAAGGUCUUCGGAUUGUAAAGCUCUGUCUUUUGGGACGAUAAUGACGGUACCAAAGGAGGAAGCCACGGCUAACUACGUGCCAGCAGCCGCGGUAAUACGUAGGUGGCGAGCGUUGUCCGGAUUUACUGGGCGUAAAGGGUGCGUAGGCGGAUGUUUAAGUGAGAUGUGAAAUACCCGGGCUUAACUUGGGUGCUGCAUUUCAAACUGGAUAUCUAGAGUGCAGGAGAGGAGAAUGGAAUUCCUAGUGUAGCGGUGAAAUGCGUAGAGAUUAGGAAGAACACCAGUGGCGAAGGCGAUUCUCUGGACUGUAACUGACGCUGAGGCACGAAAGCGUGGGUAGCAAACAGGAUUAGAUACCCUGGUAGUCCACGCCGUAAACGAUGAGUACUAGGUGUAGGAGGUAUCGACCCCUUCUGUGCCGCAGUAAAACACAUU
This 491-nucleotide ribosomal RNA is filed under the name uncultured bacterium. RNAcentral describes it as "partial 16S ribosomal RNA". It matches the Rfam family "Bacterial small subunit ribosomal RNA", at positions 355 to 861 of the family's 1533-position model. The record is from RNAcentral.